CAACCUUGCGGUCGUGCUCCCCAGGCGGGGUAUUUAAUGCGUUAGCUUCGGCACUGGAGGCAUGGAAACCCCCAACACCUAGUACCCAUCGUUUACGGCUAGGACUACCAGGGUAUCUAAUCCUGUUUGCUCCCCUAGCUUUCGCGCCUCAGCGUCAGAAUCAGUCCAGAGAGCCGCCUUCGCCACCGGUGUUCUUCCCAAUAUCUACGCAUUCCACCGCUACACUGGGAAUUCCACUCUCCUCUACUGAUCUCAAGUCUGGCAGUAUCGGAUGCAGUUCGACCGGUUGAGCCGGUGAAUUUCACAUCUGACUUACCAAACCGCCUGCGCGCCCUUUACGCCCAGUAAUUCCGAACAACGCUUGCUCCCUCCGUAUUACCGCGGCUGCUGGCACGGAGUUAGCCGGAGCUUCCUCUGGUGGUACCGUCAGCCGGCCGGCAUUAUCUACCAACCGGGUUUCUUCCCACCUGACAGAGCUUUACGACCCGAAGGCCUUCAUCGCUCACACGGUGUUGCUGCGUCAGGCUUUCGCCCAUUGCGCAAUAUUCCCUA
Molecule: ribosomal RNA, 552 nt
Filed under: uncultured bacterium
Lineage: Bacteria
Description: partial 16S ribosomal RNA
Source: RNAcentral